GCGGCAGGCUUAACACAUGCAAGUCGAGGGGUAACAUUGUGCUUGCACAGAUGACGACCGGCGAACGGGUGCGUAACGCGUAUAGAAUCUACCUCUUACUAAGGGAUAGCCCAGAGAAAUUUGGAUUAAGACCUUAUAGUAUAUAAGACUGGCAUCAGUUUUAUAUUAAAGAUUACGGUAAGAGAUGACUAUGCGUCCUAUUAGCUAGAUGGUGUGGUAACGGCACACCAUGGCAACGAUAGGUAGGGGCCCUGAGAGGGGGAUCCCCCACACUGGUACUGAGACACGGACCAGACUCCUACGGGAGGCAGCAGUGAGGAAUAUUGGACAAUGGAGGCAACUCUGAUCCAGCCAUGCCGCGUGCAGGAUGACUGCCCUAUGGGUUGUAAACUGCUUUUAUACAGGAAGAAACCAUCUCACGUGUGAGAUCUUGACGGUACUGUAAGAAUAAGGAUCGGCUAACUCCGUGCCAGCAGCCGCGGUAAUACGGAGGAUCCAAGCGUUAUCCGGAAUCAUUGGGUUUAAAGGGUCCGUAGGUGGAUAAUUAAGUCAGAGGUGAAAUCCUGCAGCUCAACUGUAGAAUUGCCUUUGAUACUGGUUAUCUUGAGUUAUUAUGAAGUAGUUAGAAUAUGUAGUGUAGCGGUGAAAUGCAUAGAUAUUACAUAGAAU
This 669-nucleotide ribosomal RNA is filed under the name Flavobacteriaceae bacterium TB 48. RNAcentral describes it as "bacterial SSU rRNA". It matches the Rfam family "Bacterial small subunit ribosomal RNA", at positions 39 to 707 of the family's 1533-position model. The record is from RNAcentral. Lineage: Bacteria; Pseudomonadati; Bacteroidota; Flavobacteriia; Flavobacteriales; Flavobacteriaceae.